RNAcentral lists this ribosomal RNA (432 nucleotides) under uncultured bacterium. RNAcentral's name for it is "partial 16S ribosomal RNA". It matches the Rfam family "Bacterial small subunit ribosomal RNA", at positions 29 to 506 of the family's 1533-position model. The record is from RNAcentral.
AACGAACGCUGGCGGCAUGCCUAACACAUGCAAGUCGAACGAAGGCUUCGGCCUUAGUGGCGCACGGGUGCGUAACGCGUGGGAAUCUGCCCUUAGGUUCGGAAUAACAGUUAGAAAUGACUGCUAAUACCGGAUGAUGACGUAAGUCCAAAGAUUUAUCGCCUGAGGAUGAGCCCGCGUAGGAUUAGCUAGUUGGUGUGGUAAAGGCGCACCAAGGCGACGAUCCUUAGCUGGUCUGAGAGGAUGAUCAGCCACACUGGGACUGAGACACGGCCCAGACCCCUACGGUAGGCAGCAGUGGGGAAUAUUGGACAAUGGGCGCAAGCCUGAUCCAGCAAUGCCGCGUGAGUGAUGAAGGCCUUAGGGUUGUAAAGCUCUUUUACCCGUGAUGAUAAUGACAGUAGCGGGAGAAUAAGCCCCGGCUAACUCCGU